Molecule: ribosomal RNA, 1405 nt
Filed under: metagenome
Description: bacterial LSU rRNA
Rfam family: Bacterial large subunit ribosomal RNA
Source: RNAcentral
GGGGGAUCCCGGUGCAAGUGAGGUACCAGCCGCAUUGGAAAAACCGUGUGGCAAUGGGAAGACGUGAUGCGGAGUGAAGUUUAGUAAUGAAGUCCGUGAGCUGUGCGUCAAGAAAAGCCGCUAUUGUUCAUACCAUACCCGUACCGUAAACCGACACAGGUGGAUGAGGAGAGAAUCCUAAGGCCGGCGGAAGAAGCAUUGUCAAGGAACUCGGCAAAAUGACCCCGUAACUUCGGGAGAAGGGGUGCCUGCGAGAGCAGGCCGCAGAGAAUAGGCUCAAGCAACUGUUUAGCAAAAACACAGGUCUAUGCGAAACCGAAAGGUGAGGUAUAUGGGCUGACGCCUGCCCGGUGCUGGAAGGUUAAGAGGAGAGGUUAGCGCAAGCGAAGCUUUGAAUUUAAGCCCCAGUAAACGGCGGCCGUAACAAUAACGGUCCUAAGGUAGCGAAAUUCCUUGUCGGGUAAGUUCCGACCCGCACGAAAGGCGUAAUGAUUUGAGCGCUGUCUCGACAAUGCAUCCGGUGAAAUUGAAGUACCAGUGAAGAUGCUGGUUACCUGCGCCAGGACGGAAAGACCCCAUGGAGCUUUACUCCAGUUUGGUACUGGGAUCCGGUACUGCAUGUACAGGAUAGGUGGGAGGCUAUGAAUCGGUAACGCCAGUUGCCGAGGAGCCGCUGUUGGGAUACCACCCUUGCAGUAUUGGGUUUCUAACCAGCCGCCGUGACCCGGCGGUGGGACAAUGCCAGACGGGGAGUUUGACUGGGGCGGUCGCCUCCGAAAGGGUAUCGGAGGCGCCCAAAGGUUCCCUCAGGAUGACGGAAACCAUCCAAAGAGUGCAAAGGCAGAAGGGAGCUUGACUGCGACACCGACGGGUGGAGCAGGUACGAAAGUAGGGCUUAGUGAUCCGGUGGUAUUAAGUGGGAAUGCCAUCGCUCAACGGAUAAAAGCUACCCUGGGAUAACAGGCUUAUCACUCCCAAGAGUUCACAUCGACGGAGUGGUUUGGCACCUCGAUGUCGGCUCAUCGCAUCCUGGGGCUGUAGUAGGUCCCAAGGGUUGGGCUGUUCGCCCAUUAAAGCGGUACGCGAGCUGGGUUCAGAACGUCGUGAGACAGUUCGGUCCCUAUCCGGCGUGGGCGUAGGAUAUCUGAGAGGAGCUGUCCUUAGUACGAGAGGACCAGGAUGGACGGGCCGCUGGUGCACCGGUUAGACUGCCAAGUCUAUAGCCGGGUAGCCAAGCCCGGAAGGGAUAAACGCUGAAGGCAUCUAAGCGUGAAGCCCCCCUCAAGAUGAGAUAUCCCAUCCGAAAGGAGUAAACCCCCUUGAAGACGACGAGGUCGAUAGGGCAGAGGUGGAAGUGUGGUAACACAUGGAGCUGACUGCUACUAAUAGGGUGAGGGCUUGACCG